CUGUCUCCCUGUCCCAGCCUGUUUUCCUGUUCCCCUUUCCCUUGUGUGUGUGUGUGUGUUGUCUGUGUCUGUCUACAUGUCACUCAAGAGGAUCUAGGUCAAGGGGUGUGGCCAUUCUCACCUGCUCUGCUCCAGCCAGCUGCAGAUCAUUCCAGUAAUCAACCAACACCCAGCUGCAGCUCAUUCCAGUACUCAACCAACAGUUAUCUACCCGGGCUGUUCACCUCUUCAGCGCCAGUUCGUUGCAACCAUUCCUGUGUUCCCACCUCUGGACCUGCUGCUUCUCGGUUCUCAUCUGCCUCCUCGCUGCCUGCUCACCUCGCAACUCCGUUCUCAACCAGCCUUCCACCCAGCUCUCGUCUUCGCUGCCUGGCCACACACCCGCCGUCGGAUCUCCAGCUUCGACUCCACCUGGAGCUGCUCUCCUGGCCAUUCCCUCCUGCACUAUCCACAUUGUGUCCAAUAAAACACUGCUAACUGCU
Perca fluviatilis (European perch) is the source of this 482-nucleotide long non-coding RNA. RefSeq lists it as uncharacterized. Lineage: Eukaryota; Metazoa; Chordata; Actinopteri; Perciformes; Percidae. The transcript is spliced from 2 exons. The record is from RefSeq and is a predicted model, not a curated record.